Molecule: ribosomal RNA, 319 nt
Filed under: uncultured eukaryote
Lineage: Eukaryota
Description: partial 18S ribosomal RNA
Rfam family: Eukaryotic small subunit ribosomal RNA
Source: RNAcentral
CCCUUAGAUGUUCUGGGCAGCACGCGCGCUACAAUGGUCUUCGCAAACGGAUGCAUUCUCGAAGGAGAAUGCCAAUCUUGGAAUCUAUGCCUUGGUCGGGACAGUUGCUUGCAAUUUUUCGACUCGAACCAGGAAUUCCUUGUAAUCGUGAUUCAUCACAUCACGAUGAAUACGUCCCUGCCCUUUGUACACACCGCCCGUCGCUCCUACCGAUCGAAGAGUUAGGUGAUUUGUUUUGAUCGAUAAGAUUUGACUAUGGUCAACUCUCGUUGUGAAAUUCUGUGAAUCUGACUGUUUAGAGGAAGGAAAAGUCGUAACA